This 446-nucleotide ribosomal RNA is filed under the name uncultured bacterium. RNAcentral's name for it is "bacterial SSU rRNA". It matches the Rfam family "Bacterial small subunit ribosomal RNA", at positions 791 to 1234 of the family's 1533-position model. The record is from RNAcentral.
UAGUCCACGCCGUAAACGAUGGAUACUAGGUGUUCGGAGUGUUAACCCUCUGAGUACCGGAGCUAACGCAUUAAGUAUCCCGCCUGGGGAGUACGGUCGCAAGGCUAAAACUCAAAGGAAUUGACGGGGGCCCGCACAAGCGGUGGAGUAUGUGGUUUAAUUCGAAGCAACGCGAAGAACCUUACCUGGACUUAACAUUCAGUGCCAACUCUAGAGAUAGAGUGUUCUCUUCGGAGACGCUGGGAUAGGUGCUGCAUGGCUGUCGUCAGCUCGUGUCGUAAGAUGUUGGGUUAAGUCCCGCAACGAGCGCAACCCUUGCCCUUAGUUGCUACCAUUAAGUUGGGCACUCUGAGGGGACUGUCGGUGUUAAACCGGNGGAAGGCGGGGAUGGACGUCAAGUCCUCAUGGCCCUUACGGUCCAGGGGCUACACACGUACUGCAAUGGC